Long non-coding RNA from Varroa destructor (honeybee mite), 315 nucleotides. RefSeq lists it as uncharacterized. NCBI's taxonomy places the organism in Eukaryota, Metazoa, Arthropoda, Arachnida, Mesostigmata, Varroidae. The record is from RefSeq and is a predicted model, not a curated record.
GUUUAGUAGUGUUGUUGCAGGCUUGCAAGUACAACAGGACAUCACCAUAACACUCUAAGCACCGGAUGCCAGUGUCGUACUGCAGCCACAAAAUGUCCAUCGUUGGAGCCCGUACAGGUUCGAUUGUCCGUCACGAGAAGCCGAUCUCUUUGUCGUCUUCAACGAAGUAUUCGCCUACAGCUAAGGAAAGUGGAUCAGAUAAUUAGUUUUAGACAGGAAAAAACAGCGAAGCAAGAGAUAAUCUCUUUCGUUCAUUAUCGAGCUUGUGUUGCUGCCGUGGAUCCACACAGCUGCUGGCCAUGUACGCUAUACAUU